GAGCGUAGAGUAGUGGAGCCAGGACGC
RNAcentral lists this small RNA (27 nucleotides) under Bombyx mori (domestic silkworm). RNAcentral's name for it is "ovarian small RNA-5153". Lineage: Eukaryota; Metazoa; Arthropoda; Insecta; Lepidoptera; Bombycidae. The record is from RNAcentral.